GGACUGAAGGGUGUGGAGAAGGUUGCUCAUUGUGCAGUCUUGAAAGGUUGGGGCACAUGGUUUGAAGGUUUGGAGGAAUCUUAUAUUGGUUCAUAUGGCAUCAAACUUUCAUGUAUGAGUAUAAAAAUGGGCAAAUGGACCUUGACACUGGGUAGAUGCUUUUGGCGGCCUUAAACAACACUUUUCA
Vitis riparia (riverbank grape) is the source of this 187-nucleotide long non-coding RNA. RefSeq lists it as uncharacterized. The transcript has 3 exons. The record is from RefSeq and is a predicted model, not a curated record. NCBI's taxonomy places the organism in Eukaryota, Viridiplantae, Streptophyta, Magnoliopsida, Vitales, Vitaceae.